CAGUAGCCGCGGUAAUACGAAGGGGGCUAGCGUUGCUCGGAAUGACUGGGCGUAAAGCGUGCGUAGGCGGCUUUUUAAGUCGGAUGUGAAAUCCCUGAGCUUAACUUAGGAAUUGCAUUCGAUACUGGGAAGCUAGAGUAUGGGAGAGGAUGGUAGAAUUCCAGGUGUAGCGGUGAAAUGCGUAGAGAUCUGGAGGAAUACCGAUGGCGAAGGCAGCCAUCUGGCCUAAUACUGACGCUGAGGUACGAAAGCAUGGGGAGCAAACAGGAUUAGAUACCCGAGUAGUCCCUGUCUCUUAUAC
Molecule: ribosomal RNA, 301 nt
Filed under: uncultured bacterium
Lineage: Bacteria
Description: partial 16S ribosomal RNA
Rfam family: Bacterial small subunit ribosomal RNA
Source: RNAcentral